RNAcentral lists this ribosomal RNA (76 nucleotides) under Chloroflexota bacterium. Its description in RNAcentral is "Chloroflexi bacterium (cold seep metagenome) partial 16S ribosomal RNA". It matches the Rfam family "Bacterial small subunit ribosomal RNA", at positions 1 to 76 of the family's 1533-position model. The record is from RNAcentral. Lineage: Bacteria; Bacillati; Chloroflexota.
UUUGCGGAGAGUUUGAUCCUGGCUCAGGAUGAACGCUGGCGGCGUGCCUAAUACAUGCAAGUCGAACGAGGAGCCA